AUGAAUAUUCUUGCCUGGAACUGUCGAGGACUGGGGUUGGACUCGACAGUUGGCGAACUAAGGGACUUGAUACGGUCCUACAACCCGGCGGUGGUUUUUAUUUCUGAAACUAAAAAUAAAGUUGCGCCAAUGGAUAAAAUAAAGUAGAGCCUCGGGUUCCAUCAUGGUGUGGUUGUGAAUUGUGAGGGAAGAAGUGGUGGUCUAGCAUUAUCAUGGAGGGAUGAUGUUGAGGUCUCUGUCAGACCGUUGUGUCAGUGUUUUUUUGGACGCAACAAUUACUUUUGGAGGGAGAAGCUUUAG
RNAcentral lists this ribosomal RNA (300 nucleotides) under Triticum aestivum (bread wheat). RNAcentral describes it as "partial small subunit ribosomal RNA". The record is from RNAcentral. Lineage: Eukaryota; Viridiplantae; Streptophyta; Magnoliopsida; Poales; Poaceae.